GAUCAGCCGUACUCCGAAUGANUAGGAUUUAAGUUUGAUCAUGGCUCAGAUCUCAACGCUGUAGGCAUGCCUUACACAUGCAAGUCGAACGGCAGCACGGAGCUUGCUCUGGUGGCGAGUGGCGAACGGGUGAGUAAAAUAUCGGAACGUACCCAGGAGUGGGGGAUAACGUAGCGAAAGUUACGCUAAUACCGCAUACGUCCUAAGGGAGAAAGUGGGGGAUCGCAAGACCUCAUGCUCGUGGAGCGGCCGAUAUCUGAUUAGCUAGUUGGUGGGGUAAAAGGCCUACCAAGGCACGAUCAGUAGCUGGUCUGAAGAGGACCGACCCAGCCACNACUGGGAAACCUGNAGGACANCGGGUCCAGAACUUCCCUUACCGGGAACNGCAACGACACGUGGGGGGCAAANUUUGGGNACCCAUGGGGGGCCAAACCCUAGAAUUCCAAGCCAAAUGGCCCGCGUNAGUUAANAGAAAAAGGCCCUUAUUCCCGGGGGGAUAUGGUGUAAAAAAAGGGCCAACCCACAUAUGCGGUGCACCCAGGCAGGGGACACAGCCAAAGACACAACCGGGGGACACCUAGGGGCGGCUAAACAAGAAAACCCCANAGAGGUGUUACCCCCUUCACAUUGAGACCGCGGGGGAACCCCCCUUAGAGACGNNAAAAUAUANGGCANAACCCCCGAGGGGNCUAUAAAGACCCAUAUCAUCGGAUAGCCCACCAAAGCAAGAGCCCCGCAGAGGAGGAAAUAAGAAANNCGGCAGUAGAAGGGC
This 772-nucleotide ribosomal RNA is filed under the name uncultured bacterium. RNAcentral's name for it is "partial 16S ribosomal RNA". The stretch from base 71 to 392 matches the Rfam family "Bacterial small subunit ribosomal RNA", at positions 48 to 357 of the family's 1533-position model. The record is from RNAcentral.